RNAcentral lists this ribosomal RNA (511 nucleotides) under uncultured bacterium. Its description in RNAcentral is "bacterial SSU rRNA". It matches the Rfam family "Bacterial small subunit ribosomal RNA", at positions 28 to 526 of the family's 1533-position model. The record is from RNAcentral.
GAUGAACGCUAGCGACAGGCUUAACACAUGCAAGUCGAGGGGCAGCGGGGAGUAGCAAUACUCUGCCGGCGACCGGCGCACGGGUGCGUAACGCGUAUGCAACCUACCCAUAAGAGUGGAAUAACCCGGCGAAAGUCGGACUAAUACCGCAUAAAGCAGGGGUCCCGCAUGGGAAUAUUUGCUAAAGAUUUUAUCGCUUAUGGAUGGGCAUGCGUUCCAUUAGGUAGUUGGUUUGGGGUAACGGCCCACCAAGCCUACGAUGGAUAGGGGUUCUGAGAGGAAGGUCCCCCACACUGGUACUGAGACACGGACCAGACUCCUACGGGAGGCAGCAGUGAGGAAUAUUGGUCAAUGGGCGAGAGCCUGAACCAGCCAAGUCGCGUGAAGGAUGAAGGAUCUAUGGUUCGUAAACUUCUUUUAUUGGGGAAUAACGGCAGGUACGUGUACCUGAGAGGAAUGUACCCAUAUGAAUAAGCAUCGGCUAACUCCGUGCCAGCAGCCGCCGUAAAAC